CUUUUUCAAAAUCGAAGAUCUAACAGUGCAACCUUUCCGCCUUCACUCCCUGGUUUCCCAUGAAGUGAGAGCAACCGUUGUCAAGAACAGAAGAAACUCGAUCAUCUUUCUUCCCAAAAGCUAAAACCCUAAGUCAGUGCUGCUGAUGCUUGGAUUGAAGACCUGGCAUAUAUUCCUGCUAUUGAUUUAGUUAAACACAAUCAUUGUUGCUGCUGCUCUGAAAGAGAAGAUGCUACUGUUGCUCAAAGUUAUUAUAGUAAUGACCAUUUACCGACGUCCAUAAUAGGUGAUGCUCUGUCUGCCCUCAACUUUGAUUGGCAGAAUAUACCAACUAAUUGGGUGUGUUCAGAUCCUUGUGGGGAUGGUUGGGAUGGGAUUAAGUGUUCUAGUUCUCGAGUGAUCUCCAUAACAAUAUUAAGCAGUGGACUGAAAGGUCAGUUUUCAGGAAACAUACAGUUCCUCUCUGAGUUGCAGACACUGAAGAGUCUUAUGGGGCAUAGUACUUGGUUCAUCCAAUAGGGCAGGCUUACAAAAAUGUUGUAGGUAGUCAUUUGGAGCCAGUGUUGAUGCUAAUGAAUACGACAAUGACAGUAUAAAGAUGCGAAGUCAUCCAGUAGGUCCUUUCGAAAGGCAAAGUCGUGAAGAACUAAAGAAGUCCAUAAUGGAGCUUAUAGUUCUAGUUUCAAACCAAAUUACACAUCAGCGUAGGUAAGAGCAACGAACCAAUAAGAAAGUUUGGAGGAAAGAGGUUGCUGCCAAGGGGAGCUUUGAUGAUGGAUUGGGCAUAGACAACCACU
This is a long non-coding RNA of Macadamia integrifolia, 797 nucleotides long. RefSeq lists it as uncharacterized. NCBI's taxonomy places the organism in Eukaryota, Viridiplantae, Streptophyta, Magnoliopsida, Proteales, Proteaceae. The transcript has 8 exons. The record is from RefSeq and is a predicted model, not a curated record.